UAGGCCCACCAAGGCACGAUCGGUAGCCGGACUGAGAGGUUGAACGGCCACAUUGGGACUGAGACACGGCCCAGACUCCUACGGGAGGCAGCAUG
This 95-nucleotide ribosomal RNA is filed under the name uncultured bacterium. RNAcentral's name for it is "partial 16S ribosomal RNA". It matches the Rfam family "Bacterial small subunit ribosomal RNA", at positions 260 to 353 of the family's 1533-position model. The record is from RNAcentral.